CCCCUUGCACGAUGAUCCGUCCCGUCCUACAUUCAUCCUGUCGGGGCAACCCGAAUAUGGUGAUAAACGCGCAGGUAAUAAGCGGAUUGGACCCGGGGGCGGUACCCGGCGGCUCCACCAAACAUCCCUUGUUGGGGGAACAUGGGGCCGAAAUAGGAUCGACAAACGUCUAAAGCUGUUUGCUUUUACUCGGUGAGCUACCACCGAUAUCGGUGCAAUAUAGUAUAGUUGCCAACAACAACCAUGCUCCGGUCGCAGUCGCAGCGUAAGCUGUCACUAGACCGAUACUUAAGUCCUUACGCCUAGCCGCGUAGGGCGGGGUCCGCAGGCACCUGGCAACAGAAGCCUGCACU
This 353-nucleotide transfer-messenger RNA is filed under the name Oceaniovalibus sp. ACAM 378. Its description in RNAcentral is "Alphaproteobacteria transfer-messenger RNA". It matches the Rfam family "Alphaproteobacteria transfer-messenger RNA". From Rfam's summary of the family: Bacterial tmRNA, also known as 10Sa RNA or SsrA, is named for its dual tRNA and mRNA-like properties. Its role is to liberate the mRNA from a stalled ribosome. To accomplish this part of the tmRNA is used as a reading frame that ends in a translation stop signal. Lineage: Bacteria; Pseudomonadati; Pseudomonadota; Alphaproteobacteria; Rhodobacterales; Roseobacteraceae. The record is from Rfam by way of RNAcentral.